This is a long non-coding RNA of Macrosteles quadrilineatus (aster leafhopper), 274 nucleotides long. RefSeq lists it as uncharacterized. The record is from RefSeq and is a predicted model, not a curated record. The transcript is spliced from 3 exons. NCBI's taxonomy places the organism in Eukaryota, Metazoa, Arthropoda, Insecta, Hemiptera, Cicadellidae.
ACAUUGGAGUAAGGUAUAUAAACAUUUCAACGACCAGAGAAUAUAUAUCACUUUCAACCGUGAGCUCCAAGAAUCGUUAACAGCAGUAAAGAUGACUUUUGCAUCAGCUUUCAUCGUGGCAGUUGCUACCUUUCUGGCACUUGUAGAUUACACGGUUGCCAAACCCAACACAACAGGGGCCAGUAAGUGAUGGGAGUUAACUCGAAAAUGUGACGCAGUUUAAGGUGUGCAUGUAACAUAUUGAGUUAAGAAAAUAAAACAAGAAAAUACAAAA